This 291-nucleotide unclassified non-coding RNA is filed under the name uncultured fungus. RNAcentral describes it as "sequence contains ITS1, 5.8S rRNA gene". The stretch from base 243 to 291 matches the Rfam family "5.8S ribosomal RNA", at positions 1 to 49 of the family's 154-position model. The record is from RNAcentral. Lineage: Eukaryota; Fungi.
UUUCCGUAGGUGAACCUGCGGAAGGAUCAUUACCAAAUGUCCGGCCCUUCGGGGCCAGGCGGGAUCCGGCGACCCCGAAAGGGCGAGCCGAACCCCUACACCCUUUGUGAAAAACCCAAGUUGCUUCGGCAGCUCGCCCUUCCCUUCACCGGGAAAAGGCGGUCAGCCUGCCGACAGCCCCCAAUGAAACCCUUUACAAGUUAGUAUAUACAAUGUCUGACCAAAAUGUCGAAUGACUAUAAAACUUUCAACAACGGAUCUCUUGGUUCCCGCAUCGAUGAAGAACGCAGC